Halichondria panicea is the source of this 403-nucleotide long non-coding RNA. RefSeq lists it as uncharacterized. Lineage: Eukaryota; Metazoa; Porifera; Demospongiae; Suberitida; Halichondriidae. The transcript is spliced from 3 exons. The record is from RefSeq and is a predicted model, not a curated record.
CCAUCAGGGCAUGGGAGGUUUUGUGCCCCAAAGUGAUACGCUUAGCCGCUAACAUGCAAGAAUGUACGGCAAUUCAAGAUGCUCUAGCAAAGUUGACGUGCGUGCACCAUUGAGUUUGUAACAGCCGAGUCUCACAGUAUGUUGAGUUUAUUCUGCCUCUACUACAUGCUAACUGACACCCGAUUUAAGGCAGACCACAAGAGAAUUAUUCUGACAGAGGAUGACUCAACAGAGCGGAGUGAAUUAACUGCCCAGCCUCUUCUGUGGAUAAAUGGGCAUUCCUCCAGCGAGGUUCAAGUGACGAAGCUCUUUGUCGAGAGGGAUCUACUGGCAACAUUUCCACCAAAGAUGGCACCUCUUGUGCUCCUGAGUAUACAUUUUAUGUAUUUAAUCUGUCUUUCAC